This 253-nucleotide ribosomal RNA is filed under the name uncultured bacterium. RNAcentral's name for it is "partial 16S ribosomal RNA". It matches the Rfam family "Bacterial small subunit ribosomal RNA", at positions 524 to 776 of the family's 1533-position model. The record is from RNAcentral.
UACGAAGAGGGCUAGCGUUGUUCGGAAUUACUGGGCGUAAAGCGCGCGCAGGCGGUCUUCCAAGUCAGUGGUGAAAGCCCGGAGCUCAACUCCGGAACUGCCAUUGAAACUGUUAGACUUGAGGAUGAGAGAGGUGAGUGGAAUUCCCAGUGUAGAGGUGAAAUUCGUAGAUAUUGGGAAGAACACCGGUGGCGAAGGCGGCUCACUGGCUCAUUACUGACGCUCAGGCGCGAUAGCGUGGGGAUCAAACAGG